RNAcentral lists this long non-coding RNA (369 nucleotides) under Lathyrus oleraceus (garden pea). Its description in RNAcentral is "Pisum sativum (pea) long non-coding RNA (PSAT_LNC042311)". The record is from RNAcentral. Lineage: Eukaryota; Viridiplantae; Streptophyta; Magnoliopsida; Fabales; Fabaceae.
UUUUACUUACUUAUUUUUUUUUCUUUUGAUUAAUUUAAUUACUUAAAAUAUUAAUUAGUUGAUUGACUAAAUUUUUAGACUUUAUUAUUUAUUUUCUAAGUAGACUAUUCAAUUAUUCGAUCUCGUUAUGUUAAUUCGGGUAAUUAUGUAACUCAUGUCCAUAGCAUCACGCAUGUAAAUAAUCAUACUAACCUGUCACAUCAAUUUCAAUUUCACUAACAUUUCACCUUAACUUCAAUCAAUUUCAAUUUCAUACCAUUUUUCAAAUCCUUUCAAAACAAUUUUCAUUUCAUUAAUGUAAUUCAUUUCACAAAUCAAUUUUCACCAACGCAAGUGCUUGAUCCAACACUUGAUCAACUUCAUCUAACC